Oncorhynchus mykiss (rainbow trout) is the source of this 313-nucleotide non-coding RNA. Lineage: Eukaryota; Metazoa; Chordata; Actinopteri; Salmoniformes; Salmonidae. The record is from RefSeq and is a predicted model, not a curated record.
CUGCUAUAAGACAAAUGCAAGCCUGGUCAGGCCCAUGGGUCCAUACUUGUCUAUAACUUGUGUUUUUUUUUAUCGAACAAGCGUUGCUUCUUAUUGAACACCUCUGUUUUGGACUUUAAACUCAAAAUGUUCAUCAAUAUUAAGGUUAUUCCAUUGUAGCAAUUCAGAUUGCCAAAGGAUGGAUGAUUGCACUGAAAUGACACUGUAAGACAGUGGAAGAAGUUGCCCCUAACCACUGAUACAGAGUCAGAUACAUUUUCACCCACCUAAUGAUCCAGGCCGGUGGUGGCUGGUCCCCUUCAAGAAGUUGAGG